GCAGAAUCUUAAAUAUCUUUUCAUACUUUAUUCCCAACAAUAGAUGUGAGCUCCAAGACCUUCUUAACAUUCAUUUCCUUUCAGUAUUUCAUACCAAAGCCCAUGAUUUUAAUUGUGAGGUAAGGAAAAGUUGCUACAAAUGUGAUAGAAAAUAAAUUAAACAUCGGCAAACAUCUGGUUCUUUCUUUUUUAUUUUUAACCAUGUGAAAUGGAGUAUGGCACAUCAGGAUGUUGCUGGAUUAACACUAGGAGAGUAGGUGGAACAGUGCAAUGCCGCCUUCUGUAGGAUCACAGUGACCACAAAACCCAAGCAGGAUGCUCAGACCUGCCGACCCUCAUGGCCAUGUGCUGGAAUCAGCAAAAGUUUGACAAUUUGGCCAUUUCACUUACUCACUGAUAUCAGAAGACUCUGUUGAUCUAAGGACAGUGUCAGUUUGGAGACUUCAGGAGGAGCAGAAGAUUCUUGUUGCAGGGAUGAACCAUCAUUGGAAAUCUCUUUCAGCUUGUGCUGAUGCCAUCAGAGAGCUGUCCUGCUUGUUUUCUAACGAGACAAUGAAAAGUAUGUAUUUGUAAUAAAUUGCAUAAUGGCAAUGGAUAUUUUUAUUUUGUUGUUAGUAAGAGUAUAAC
Molecule: long non-coding RNA, 627 nt
Organism: Misgurnus anguillicaudatus (oriental weatherfish)
Lineage: Eukaryota; Metazoa; Chordata; Actinopteri; Cypriniformes; Cobitidae
Source: RefSeq, a predicted model, not a curated record